GGCGGCCGUAGCGCGGUGGUCCCACCUGACCCCAUGCCGAACUCAGAAGUGAAACGCCGUAGCGCCGAUGGUAGUGUGGGGGCUCCCCAUGCGAGAGUAGGGAACUGCCAGGC
This 113-nucleotide ribosomal RNA is filed under the name Escherichia coli. The record is from RNAcentral. Lineage: Bacteria; Pseudomonadati; Pseudomonadota; Gammaproteobacteria; Enterobacterales; Enterobacteriaceae. RNAcentral also lists the same sequence under 6 other names.